RNAcentral lists this ribosomal RNA (511 nucleotides) under uncultured bacterium. Its description in RNAcentral is "bacterial SSU rRNA". It matches the Rfam family "Bacterial small subunit ribosomal RNA", at positions 1 to 507 of the family's 1533-position model. The record is from RNAcentral.
CUACACACGAGUUUGAUCCUGGCUCAGGAUGAACGCUAGCGGCAGGCUUAAUACAUGCAAGUCGUGGGGCAGCAAGGGUAGCAAUACCUGUUGGCGACCGGCAAACGGGUGAGGAACAUGUACGCAACCUUCCUUUAACUGGAGAAUAGCCCCUCGAAAGAGGGAUUAAUACUCCGUAACAUAAUGAAGUGGCAUCACUUUAUUAUUAUAGCUCCGGCGGUUAAAGAUGGGCGUGCACCUGAUUAGAUAGUAGGCGGGGUAACGGCCCACCUAGCCGACGAUGCCUAGGGGUUCUGAGAGGAAGGUCCCCCACACUGGAACUGAGACACGGUCCAGACUCCUACGGGAGGCAGCAGUGAGGAAUAUUGGUCAAUGGACGAGAGUCUGAACCAGCCAAGUAGCGUGCAGGAUGACGGCCCUCUGGGUUGUAAACUGCUUUUAGUUGGGAAUAAAAAGAGGGACGUGUCCCUUAUUGUAUGUACCAUCAGAAAAAGGACCGGCUAAUUCCGUG